Molecule: transfer RNA, 33 nt
Filed under: Thylacinus cynocephalus (Tasmanian wolf)
Lineage: Eukaryota; Metazoa; Chordata; Mammalia; Dasyuromorphia; Thylacinidae
Description: partial tRNA-Lys
Source: RNAcentral
UAUUAUAUGAGAUUUAACCUCUCCUCAAAAACA